Molecule: non-coding RNA, 2295 nt
Organism: Epinephelus lanceolatus (giant grouper)
Lineage: Eukaryota; Metazoa; Chordata; Actinopteri; Perciformes; Serranidae
Source: the annotation of a RefSeq genome assembly
UUUCGUAAUCACUUCACCAUGUACUGACAACGUGAGAUCUGAGCCCAAAUGAAGCACCUACAGAAUAUGAAAACUGUGAUUAAAAUCAUGGUCAUUGUUUUGCACUGUAGAGGUUCCUCAUCUGACAAGACAAAGAAGCUCAGCGUCUUAAUCGGUGCAGACGUGACUCUUAGCUGCCUGUUUGAUAAAUUUUCCAAGCUAGUGGAGUGGAGCACUCUCACCAUUGAGUGGAACAUGGUGGAUAAACGUGCAGAGAAGAGCAUUGUGUACACUUUUGAGGAUGGCAGAGCACAUGUGAACAGAAAUGGCUCCGUGGUGGAUAAAAUGCAGUUGCUAGAAAGUGAUGCAUCUCUGCAGCUUGGUAAUGUGACUGUGGGGGAUGAAGGGCUGUACACCUGCAGAAUCAUCACACCUGUGGUCCACACAGAGACCACCUCACUGGAAGUGCUAGCUCAGCCUUUAGUGUCACUACCAGAGAAGGCAGCAGUGACAGAAGGGGAGGAGAAGACUAUACAGUGUGACAUCAAAGGUUUCUAUCCAGAGAAACUGGCCGUGUCGUGGCUCAUUCAAAAUGGCUCCCACACUGUCCACGCAGGUGCAAGCCACCUCUCCCGAGUCUGCACUGAAAUGGCCAUUCACAAUCCAGAUGGCACCUACAGUAUCCGCAGUGGCAUCACACUGCACUCCUCAGCAGUGAAGGAUGGAGAGAUGCACAUCAUCUGUCAGGUGGAGCACCAGACCUACGGCCGGCCGCACAACAAGUCUGUCACACUGACUGUUCAGGCUCCAUCACAGCCCCUUUACAGUGCUGUCACACUGAUAGCUGUCACCAGUGUCAUCAGUCUGCUGCUGGUUAUCACUGUUAUUGGAGGCACUCUGCUUCUCUACAGAUAUUUUGGCAAAGCUCCACCAAGUGUUUCUGAAAUCAGCAAACCCAGCAUCAUAUAUGCUCAGGUGCAGACAGACCUCAAAUGCACCAUCCAAGGAGCAAGACUGCAGGAGCUCAAGGUGAAAUGGUUCAAAUUAAGAAGCUUCGCAGACUCAGUGGUCCAGUCAGAAUGUGAUUCUCUGUUGCUCAGUGAGGAUCUGAGUGAACAGGCUUGUCUCCAGUCAGAUGGCAGACACCACACAUCUGUCCUGACUGUGUGUCUGAGCGUCACUGAAGACCUGACUGAAUACCAGUGUGUGGUGCUGUGCAGGGGCAAGUGCAUCAAAAGAAACACCACAGUCCCAGUAAAAGUGGAGCCGUCUUUCAUCCAGAUCUCCAGCAUUCCUCAGAUCCCCAAGGUGGAGAGGCUGCUGGUUCUCUGCUGUCGGGUGGAGAACUUCUACCCUCAGGACAUCGACCUGGAGUGGUCCAGGAAUGACGGGGAGCAAGUUGGCACUGUCACACACUUUGGACCUUUCUCUGACCACAACCGCCUCUACAGCAUGUGGAGUAAGAUUCAGCUGGUCAUGGCCAGAGAGGACGAGAGGGCUGUCUACACCUGCCGAGUUUACCACUCCAGCUUCCCUGCUCCAGGUUACAAAGAUGUCCUGUAUCACAUCAACACUCAAGGAACUCCUCCUAAUGUGAUGUUCAUCGACUGUGAACCACUGUGUCCUCUGAUGAAUGAAGAGUGUACACUGCACCUGUGUAUCAAAGACUUCUGUCCUGAGGACGUGUCAGUGACUUGGACUAAAGAUGGAGAGACGGUUCUGUCCGGUGUCUUUAACACUCCCCCGAGCCUGAACAUCAAUGGCCUCUACUCCAUGUUCAGUUUCCUCAAACUCACCCCCAGCAAGAAGGACCAGGGCUCCAAGUUCAGGUGCCAAGUGGUUCACAGCGCCCAGAGGGAGCCUGAGGAGAGACUCUUCACACUUCCUGCUGCAACACACAACCUACAUGUGAUAGACAGCUGCUGAUGUCCUCACUGUGUAAACUCUUACAUUUCAAGCUACAGUAGUUUGAUUUGUGAAAGUUGGGAUACAGAUCGGAAGAGAGAAAACAGGUAUUGGGACUGAUGGUGGGCCCUCUUAAAACAGUAUGUGGUUACUGCCUUUCAUUGGUAUGAUCCAAGCAGCAACCACCAGGGCUAAAAAAUCAAGCCAACAUGGAAGUGCCACAAAUUGCAGUUCUCUGAAUGGACACUUGAGGCUGGCUCCAGAAGAAGUCCCCACAGAAAUAAACAUGUUUACAGCCCAGAAAAACUGCUCUGGCUUCCACAGCUACUCUUAACAUUCAUGACAACUGUACAGAGCAUUUAAAAAACCCUACUUGUUCACCAUUUAAUAAAGGCUUCAAGUUACACAUAA